AAUCCCUUAAAGCUACUCUCAGUUCGGAUUGUAGGCUGAAACUCGCCUACAUGAAGCUGGAGUUACUAGUAAUCGCAGAUCAGAAUGCUGCGGUGAAUGCGUUCCCGGGUCUUGUACACACCGCCCGUCACACCACGGGAGUUGGAGACGCCCGAAGCCGAUUAUCUAACCUUUUGGAAGAAGUCGUCGAAGGUGGAAUCAAUAACUGGGGUGAAGUCGUAACAAGGUAGCCGUAUCGGAAGGUGCGGCUGGGUCACCUCCUUUCUAAGGAGA
Molecule: ribosomal RNA, 273 nt
Filed under: Clostridioides difficile
Lineage: Bacteria; Bacillati; Bacillota; Clostridia; Peptostreptococcales; Peptostreptococcaceae
Description: partial 16S ribosomal RNA
Rfam family: Bacterial small subunit ribosomal RNA
Source: RNAcentral